Camelina sativa (false flax) is the source of this 461-nucleotide long non-coding RNA. RefSeq lists it as uncharacterized. The record is from RefSeq and is a predicted model, not a curated record. NCBI's taxonomy places the organism in Eukaryota, Viridiplantae, Streptophyta, Magnoliopsida, Brassicales, Brassicaceae.
UUUCUUUUUCCCAUUUCUCCACCUUUUUUUCCAGCCGUACACGUAAUCUUUCAAACGAUUCUGGCAAAGUUCUUCAAAUUUUUCUUUGACUUCGGUUGUUACACCAUAAUCCCAAUAAAAAUUUUGCUACAAUUUUUUCAAAGAGAUUUUAUAAAUCUUAAUGUUUUUUAAUUAUCAAUCUAAUGUAAAACAUAAUAAAUAUAAAAGUAUAUUGAAAUUGUAUCACUAGCCACAAAGGCUUUGAACCAUCGAUCCUUUGUAUAUCCUGACAAUGUUGACCAAUUCGGAGCAGGUUCUGAUCGGAGAGACGGAGAAAGGCAGUGGGAAAAGCAAGCGGCGGAUCUGAAAGAACCCCUCAGGUUGCUUUGUUUCUUCAUCCACAUAUAAAAUUUACAGAAUUGAAAUUGUUGAGUUUGAUCUAAUAUUUUCCUGCAAGCGGCGGAUCUAAUAUUUUCCUGCAA